CCGCAUAGGUGUAGAGAUCGCAUGAACUCUAUAUGAAAAGUGCUACGGGACUGGUAGAUGAUGGACUUAUGGCGCAUUAGCUGGUUGGUAGGGUAACGGCCUACCAAGGCGACGAUGCGUAGCCGACCUGAGAGGGUGACCGGCCACACUGGGACUGAGACACGGCCCAGACUCCUACGGGAGGCAGCAGUAGGGAAUUUUCGGCAAUGGGGGAAACCCUGACCGAGCAACGCCGCGUGAAGGAAGAAGUAAUUCGUUAUGUAAACUUCUGUCAUAGAGGAAGAACGGUGGAUAUAGGGAAUGAUAUCCAAGUGACGGUACUCUAUAAGAAAGCCACGGCUAACUACGUGCCAGCAGCCGCGGUAAUACGUAGGUGGCGAGCGUUAUCCGGAAUUAUUGGGCGUAAAGAGGGAGCAGGCGGCACUAAGGGUCUGUGGUGAAAGAUCGAAGCUUAACUUCGGUAAGCCAUGGAAACCGUAGAGCUAGAGUGUGUGAGAGGAUCGUGGAAUUCCAUGUGUAGCGGUGAAAUGCGUAGAUAUAUGGAGGAACACCAGUGGCGAAGGCGACGAUCUGGCGCAUAACUGACGCUCAGUCCCGAAAGCGUGGGGAGCAAAUAGGAUUAGAUACCCUAGUAGUCCACGCCGU
Molecule: ribosomal RNA, 645 nt
Filed under: uncultured bacterium
Lineage: Bacteria
Description: bacterial SSU rRNA
Rfam family: Bacterial small subunit ribosomal RNA
Source: RNAcentral